Molecule: ribosomal RNA, 694 nt
Filed under: uncultured bacterium
Lineage: Bacteria
Description: bacterial SSU rRNA
Rfam family: Bacterial small subunit ribosomal RNA
Source: RNAcentral
AGUCGAGCGGUAACAGGGGUAAUUUAUUACCUGCUGACGAGCGGCGGUCGGCUGAGUAACGCGUGGGAACAUGCCCCAAAGUGAGGAAUAACUGCCCGAAAGGGUGGCUAAUGCCGCAUAUGAUCUUCGGAUUAAAGGAUUUAUCCGCUUUGGGAGUGGCCCGCGUACGAUUAGGUAGUUGGUGAGGUAAAGGCUCACCAAGCCCACGAUCGUUAACUGGUCUGAGAGGAUGAUCAGUCAGACUGGAACUGAGACACGGUCCAGACUCCUACGGGAGGCAGCAGUGAGGAAUCUUCCACAAUGGGCGAAAGCCUGAUGGAGCGAUGCCGCGUGCAGGAUGAAGGCCUUCGGGUUGUAAACUGCUUUUAUAAGUGAAGAAUAUGACGGUAACUUAUGAAUAAGCACCGGCUAACUACGUGCCAGCAGCCGCGGUCAUACGUAGGGUGCAAGCAUUAUCCGGAGUGACUGGGCGUAAAGAGUUGCGUAGGUGGACAAGUAAGCGAAUAGUGAAAUGUGGCGGCUCAACCGUACACACUAUUAUUCGAACUGCUUGUCUCGAGAAUGGUAGAGGUAACUGGAAUUUCUAGUGUAGGAGUGAAAUCCGUAGAUAUUAGAAGGAACGCCAAUGGCGUAGGCAGGUUACUGGACCAUUUCUGACACUGAGGCACGAAAGCGUGGGGAGCGAACCGGAUUA